UGAUGGGAUAAAUGCUUGGCUUACAGAAGGCAAACAUUUUUUUGUGUCUUUGGUCAAUUGCCUUUGACACAUUUUUGUUCAUUCUUCUAACUUCCCCUUUUAUCCAGAAGACAGAAUCAUGCAUGAGAAUUUAACAGCCGGACUGGUGUUUUGACAACUAAAAAUACAAGAUCUCCUUUCUCUAAUUGCAUACAGGCAAGGGAACUGUUACAGCUGUAAGUGCUAUAAAGGAUGGAAUGGUUACAACUGCCUGUAAUGCUUCUUCUUUCCCCUUGCUUAAGUGGUACUUUCACAGGUUCUCCAAUUUCAGCAUGAUCCUGUGAGACUUCCAGCAUACUGAGUCACAGAAUAGCAAUAGCUCGUAAAGCCCUGUGAAGCGAUAAGGAAGGAUAUCAUUCAAUAUGUUAACAACAAUGAUGAAAGAAUUCAGCACCAUCAGCAGUUAUAACUAUAUGAAUUUUUUACAACCAGAUUCCAGAUGGAACUGAACGUUUGCUACCAAUCUGGGUGUCACCUGAUACAAGCAUCAGAAGGGAAGAAUAUAUUACAAAACAUGGAGAAUGCAGCAUUUCUGGCUUAUCCAUUGAUUUAUAUGUGAGAACAAUGUCGUAUACCCUUGGCCAUACAUCUUAGACAGAACAGCUCAUGUAUCCGGCUCCAUCUAAAAUCCGACAACUUUACAUUACACAGCUAUUUCUCCCACUGCAACUUCUGGGAAGAAAUGUGCUAUCACACCCAGAGAUGGAAGAGGGGUGCUAUCACACCGAGGAAGGGAAGAAAGGUACUAUCAGACCCAAUGAGUGGGGCUGAUGGU
Molecule: long non-coding RNA, 814 nt
Organism: Protopterus annectens (West African lungfish)
Lineage: Eukaryota; Metazoa; Chordata; Ceratodontiformes; Protopteridae
Exons: 4
Source: RefSeq, a predicted model, not a curated record